GAUGAACGCUGGCGGCGUGCCUAAUACAUGCAAGUCGAGCGAACAGACGAGGAGCUUGCUCCUCUGACGUUAGCGGCGGACGGGUGAGUAACACGUGGAUAACCUACCUAUAAGACUGGGAUAACUUCGGGAAACCGGAGCUAAUACCGGAUAAUAUAUUGAACCGCAUGGUUCAAUAGUGAAAGACGGUUUUGCUGUCACUUAUAGAUGGAUCCGCGCCGCAUUAGCUAGUUGGUAAGGUAACGGCUUACCAAGGCAACGAUGCGUAGCCGACCUGAGAGGGUGAUCGGCCACACAGGAGCUGAGACACGGUCCAGACUCCUACGGGAGGCAGCAGUAGGGAAUCUUCCGCAAUGGGCGAAAGCCUGACGGAGCAACGCCGCGUGAGUGAUGAAGGUCUUCGGAUCGUAAAACUCUGUUAUUAGGGAAGAACAAAUGUGUAAGUAACUAUGCACGUCUUGACGGUACCUAAGCAGAAAGCCACGGCUAACUACGU
Molecule: ribosomal RNA, 496 nt
Filed under: uncultured bacterium
Lineage: Bacteria
Description: partial 16S ribosomal RNA
Rfam family: Bacterial small subunit ribosomal RNA
Source: RNAcentral